Long non-coding RNA from Engraulis encrasicolus (European anchovy), 578 nucleotides. RefSeq lists it as uncharacterized. The record is from RefSeq and is a predicted model, not a curated record. The transcript has 3 exons. NCBI's taxonomy places the organism in Eukaryota, Metazoa, Chordata, Actinopteri, Clupeiformes, Engraulidae.
CCAGCCAACUCUGCUACGGCAGUCGGCAACAUGAUAAAGUAACAAGAAGCAAACGUUGAAGCUCUCGGUUUUUAACAGUUCUUCGGCUAGAACUUUGCUAUGGGUUGAAUGUGCGCAUAUACUGGAUGCUGAAACUAAACGACAAGCUUUAUGAAACCGUGGCAUUUUGCGUUGAGAUGGAAAAGGAACGCGCCACACUCUCCUGGAUACGAGGCUACGUGUGUGCGGCUUUUGCGCCAAAGGUCUUUCUACCAGCAAAGCAAAAUAGCAGGACAGAAGUGACAGCGUCAGAAAGAAAACAAUGCUGUUCCGAUUGCUGAUGGAGACAACAGAGGAAGGUGCCAAGUAACUCUGGAGGAUAUUCUCGCCAUGACGAAUCGAGCUGGUAUCAACAUUCUUCGAAGUUGAAUCGGAGAGUAUAGCCAAAACUCACAGGAACACACAGCUUUCAAUUGAGAAAUGCUGUACACAGCGCCCAGCGCCCUGGGAGCUGAACGUCUGCGGCCAGGUUACAGUACAGAAGGGUCAUCCAAGGUGCAUCAUGACCCUCAUCCAUCUCCCACCAUACCAUAUGCUGG